UUCUUUGGUGCAUUGAGGGCUAGAGUGUACGACGACGAAGUGAGGAAGUGGAUUUCUGGGAUAGGUGUUGAAGGAAUUGGAAAGAGGCUUGUGAACUCAAAGGAAGGACCACCGGAAUUCGACCAGCCAAAGAUGACACUAGAAAAGCUGUUGGAAUAUGGUAACAUGCUUGUCCAAGAACAAGAGAAUGUGAAGAGAGUCCAAUUGGCAGACAAGUAUUUGAGUGAGGCUGCUCUUGGUGAUGCUAAUGAAGAUGCUAUCAAAAGGGGAACUUUCUAAAAUGCAGACUCUUAAACAAGAGGCCUUUGUUGGAGGUUUGUACUUUCCUUGAUGUAACUCCAUUUUGAUCAUAAUUAGAAAAACUUGGUCUAAAAUUACUUUGUUGUUUUCUUUGCAGAUAUUGCUAUGUUCCUGUUCUUGAUUCAAAAGCCUCAAACUUUGAUCCAACUACUUGAAGUUGUGGUGGCACGUAACAUUCUCAAUGUAUCAUUUUGGUGGAAGGAAAAGAUUCCAAGUUUGAGAUGAUUUUAUAAUAUUUUUCUUUUUGGAGUGUCUCCCUUUGUAAUUUUGUUAUAUGUACAAUGUUAAAUUUGUAUUUGGAGCCUUUCUCUUUCUGCCUAUUACA
Molecule: long non-coding RNA, 625 nt
Filed under: Lathyrus oleraceus (garden pea)
Lineage: Eukaryota; Viridiplantae; Streptophyta; Magnoliopsida; Fabales; Fabaceae
Description: Pisum sativum (pea) long non-coding RNA (PSAT_LNC019079)
Source: RNAcentral